Molecule: microRNA precursor, 167 nt
Filed under: Xyrichtys novacula (pearly razorfish)
Lineage: Eukaryota; Metazoa; Chordata; Actinopteri; Labriformes; Labridae
Source: RNAcentral
GCGGUGGCCCUGAGAUGCAAAAAACUACAGCAAAUCAGAAAACACAACACAAAAAGAGAAAACACAAUGGUAAAUGCCGCUGUGUUUUCUGAUUUGCUGUUGUGUUUUCUCUUUUUUUGUUGCGUUUUCUGAUUUGCCGUUGUGUUUUGCAGCUCAGGGCCACCGUA